Molecule: ribosomal RNA, 427 nt
Filed under: uncultured bacterium
Lineage: Bacteria
Description: bacterial SSU rRNA
Rfam family: Bacterial small subunit ribosomal RNA
Source: RNAcentral
GAUGAACGCUAGCGGCAGGCUUAACACAUGCAAGUCGAGGGGUAUAGUUCUUCGGAACUAGAGACCGGCGCACGGGUGCGUAACGCGUAUGCAAUCUACCUUUUGCAGAGGGAUAGCCCAGAGAAAUUUGGAUUAAUACCUCAUAGUAUAGCAGUUUCGCAUGAAACCACUAUUAAAGUCACAACGGCAAAAGAUGAGCAUGCGUCCCAUUAGCUAGUUGGUAAGGUAACGGCUUACCAAGGCUACGAUGGUAGGGGUCCUGAGAGGGAGAUCCCCCACACUGGUACUGAGACACGGACCAGACUCCUACGGGAGGCAGCAGUGAGGAAUAUUGGACAAUGGGCGCAAGCCUGAUCCAGCCAUGCCCGNGUGCAGGAUGACGGUCCUAUGGAUUGUAAACUGCUUUUGUACAGGAAGAAACACUCCC